UACGUAGGGGGCAAGCGUUGUCCGGAAUCAUUGGGCGUAAAGAGCGUGUAGGCGGCCCGGUAAGUCCGUUGUGAAAGUCGGGGGCUCAACCCUCGAAUGCCGGUGGAUACUGUCGGGCUAGAGUGCGGGAGAGGCGAGUGGAAUUCCUGGUGUAGCGGUGAAAUGCGCAGAUAUCAGGAGGAACACCGAUUGCGAAGGCAGCUCGCUGGAACGUAACUGACGCUGAGACGCGAAAGCGUGGGGAGCAAACAGG
Molecule: ribosomal RNA, 253 nt
Filed under: uncultured bacterium
Lineage: Bacteria
Description: partial 16S ribosomal RNA
Rfam family: Bacterial small subunit ribosomal RNA
Source: RNAcentral